This 397-nucleotide ribosomal RNA is filed under the name uncultured bacterium. Its description in RNAcentral is "partial 16S ribosomal RNA". It matches the Rfam family "Bacterial small subunit ribosomal RNA", at positions 523 to 918 of the family's 1533-position model. The record is from RNAcentral.
AUACGUAGGGGGCGAGCGUCGUCCGGAAUGAUUGGGCGUAAAGGGCGCGUAGGCGGCCUGUUAAGUCUGGAGUGAAAGUCCUGUUUUCAAGAUGGGAAUUGCUUUGGAUACUGAUGGGCUUGAGUGCAGGAGAGGUUAUCGGAAUUCCCGGUGUAGCGGUGAAAUGCGUAGAGAUCGGGAGGAACACCAGUGGCGAAGGCGGGUAACUGGACUGCAACUGACGCUGAGGCGCGAAAGUGUGGGGAGCAAACAGGAUUAGAUACCCUGGUAGUCCACACUGUAAACGAUGAAUGCUAGGUGUAAGAGGUAUCGACCCCUUUUGUGCCGGAGUUAACACAAUAAGCAUUCCGCCUGGGGAGUACGGCCGCAAGGUUGAAACUCAAAGGAAUUGACGGGG